RNAcentral lists this ribosomal RNA (404 nucleotides) under uncultured bacterium. RNAcentral describes it as "bacterial SSU rRNA". It matches the Rfam family "Bacterial small subunit ribosomal RNA", at positions 28 to 424 of the family's 1533-position model. The record is from RNAcentral.
GACGAACGCUGGCGGCGUGCUUAACACAUGCAAGUCGAGCGGGAUCCAACCGGUGGCAACACCGGGGAAGAUCUAGCGGCGAACGGGUGAGUAACACGUGAGCAACCUGCCCCGAAGACUGGGAUAACACCGGGAAACCGGUGCUAAUACCGGAUGUCGUCAUUAGGCCGCAUGACCUGAUGAUGAAAGGAUUCAUCGCUUCGGGAGGGGCUCGCGGGCUAUCAGCNGUUGGUGGGGUAACGGCCUACCAAGGUGACGACGGCUAGCUGGUCUGAGAGGACGACCAGCCACACUGGGACUGGGACACGGCCCAGACUCCUACGGGAGGCAGCAGUGGGGAAUCUUGCGCAAUGGGCGAAAGCCUGACGCAGCAACGCCGCGUGGGGGAUGAAUGCCUUCGGGUU